This 422-nucleotide ribosomal RNA is filed under the name uncultured microorganism. RNAcentral's name for it is "bacterial SSU rRNA". It matches the Rfam family "Bacterial small subunit ribosomal RNA", at positions 9 to 435 of the family's 1533-position model. The record is from RNAcentral.
GAGUUUGAUCGUGGCUCAGGAUGAACGCUGGCGGCGUGCUUAACACAUGCAAGUCGAACGAUGAUCCCAGCUUGCUGGGGGAUUAGUGGCGAACGGGUGAGUAACACGUGAGUAACCUGCCCUUGACUCUGGGGAUAAGCCUGGGAAACUGGGUCUAAUACCGGAUAUGACCUUCCAUCGCAUGGUGGUUGGUGGAAAGCUUUUGUGGUUUUGGAUGGACUCGCGGCCUAUCAGCUUGUUGGUGAGGUAAUGGCUUACCAAGGCGACGACGGGUAGCCGGCCUGAGAGGGUGACCGGCCACACUGGGACUGAGACACGGCCCAGACUCCUACGGGAGGCAGCAGUGGGGAAUAUUGCACAAUGGGCGCAAGCCUGAUGCAGCGACGCCGCGUGAGGGAUGACGGCCUCGGUUGUAACCGUAC